Non-coding RNA from Acanthosepion pharaonis, 110 nucleotides. Lineage: Eukaryota; Metazoa; Mollusca; Cephalopoda; Sepiida; Sepiidae. The record is from the annotation of a GenBank genome assembly.
GGCCACAAUACGUUGAAAUACCGGUUCCCGUACGCUCACAGAAACUAAGCAAAGCCGAGCCUGGUCAGUACCUAGAUGGGUGACCGCUAGUGAAUACCACGUGCUGUAGG